This is a long non-coding RNA of Cervus elaphus (red deer), 137 nucleotides long. RefSeq lists it as uncharacterized. Lineage: Eukaryota; Metazoa; Chordata; Mammalia; Artiodactyla; Cervidae. The transcript has 3 exons. The record is from RefSeq and is a predicted model, not a curated record.
UCUUUUUUUUUUUUUUUUUGUCUGGUUUUGGUAUCAGGGUAGUGGUGGCUUUACAGAAUGAGUUUAGGAGUGUUCCUCCCCUUGCAGUUUUUUGGAAUAGUUUCAGAAGGAUAGGUGUAAGUUCUUUGUAUGUUUGG